RNAcentral lists this ribosomal RNA (486 nucleotides) under uncultured bacterium. Its description in RNAcentral is "partial 16S ribosomal RNA". It matches the Rfam family "Bacterial small subunit ribosomal RNA", at positions 28 to 507 of the family's 1533-position model. The record is from RNAcentral.
GAUGAACGCUGGCGGCGUGCCUAAUACAUGCAAGUCGAACGCUGGAAAUCUAGCUUGCUAGAUUGAAGGAGUGGCGAACGGGUGAGUAAUACAUAAGCAACCUACCCACGAAGACUGGGAUAAUCUCUGGAAACGGGGACUAAUACCGGAUAGGUAAUCGGAAGGCAUCUUCUGAUUAUUAAAGGUUAAAAACACUGGUGGAUGGGCUUAUGGCGCAUUAGUUAGUUGGUGAGGUAACGGCCCACCAAGACGAUGAUGCGUAGCCGGCCUGAGAGGGUGAACGGCCACAUUGGGACUGAGACACGGCCCAGACUCCUACGGGAGGCAGCAGUAGGGAAUUUUCGGCAAUGGGGGAAACCCUGACCGAGCAACGCCGCGUGAGUGAUGACGGCCUUCGGGUUGUAAAGCUCUGUUGUAAGGGAAGAACGGUAGAUAGAGAAUAUCUAAAUGACGGUACCUUAUCAGAAAGCCACGGCUAACUACGUG